Molecule: ribosomal RNA, 1440 nt
Filed under: metagenome
Description: bacterial LSU rRNA
Rfam family: Bacterial large subunit ribosomal RNA
Source: RNAcentral
UGGUGGGGACACGUAAGGAAAGCGGAAGCCGGGAAUGGAAAGCCCGGUGCAAGCGGGGUACCAGUCACUUUGGCAAAUCCGGGUGGCAAUGGGAAGCCGUGAUGCGGAGCGAAAUAAAGUAGCGAAGUCCGUGAGCCAUGCGUCAAGAAAAGCCGCUAUUGUUUAUACCGUACCCGUACCGUAAACCGACACAGGUGGAUGAGGAGAGAAUCCUAAGGCCGGCGGAAGAAGCAUUGUCAAGGAACUCGGCAAAAUGGCCCCGUAACUUAGGGAUAAGGGGUGCCUGGGAAACCAGGCCGCAGAGAAUAGGCUCAAGCAACUGUUUAGCAAAAACACAGGUCUAUGCGAAACCGAAAGGUGAGGUAUAUGGGCUGACGCCUGCCCGGUGCUGGAAGGUUAAGAGGAGAGGUUAGCGGUAACGCGAAGCUUUGAAUUUAAGCCCCAGAAAACGGCGGCCGUAACUAUAACGGUCCUAAGGUAGCGAAAUUCCUUGUCGGGUAAGUUCCGACCCGCACGAAAGGCGUAAUGAUUGAGCGCUGUCUCGACAAUGCAUCCGGUGAAAUUGAAGUACCAGUGAGGAUGCUGGUUACCUGCGCCAGGACGGAAAGACCCCAUGGAGCUUUACUCCAGUCUGGUACUGGGACUCGGUAUUGCAUGUACAGGAUAGGUGGGAGGCUAGGAGAUGGUAACGCCAGUUGCCAUGGAGCCGCUGUUGGGAUACCACCCUUGCAGUAUUGGGCUUCUAACCAGCCGCCGUGACCCGGCGGUGGGACAAUGCCAGACGGGGAGUUUGACUGGGGCGGUCGCCUCCGAAAGGGUAUCGGAGGCGCCCAAAGGUUCCCUCAGAAUGGACGGAAACCAUUCGAAGAGUGCAAAGGCAGAAGGGAGCUUGACUGCGACACCGACGGGUGGAGCAGGUACGAAAGUAGGGCUUAGUGAUCCGGUGGUAUUAAGUGGGGAUGCCAUCGUUCAACGGAUAAAAGCUACCCUGGGAUAACAGGCUUAUCACUCCCAAGAGUUCACAUCGACGGAGUGGUUUGGCACCUCGAUGUCGGCUCAUCGCAUCCUGGGGCUGUAGUAGGUCCCAAGGGUUGGGCUGUUCGCCCAUUAAAGCGGUACGCGAGCUGGGUUCAGAACGUCGUGAGACAGUUCGGUCCCUAUCCGGCGUGGGCGUAGGAUAUCUGAGAGGAGCUGUCCUUAGUACGAGAGGACCGGGAUGGACGGGCCGCUGGUGCAUCGGUUAGACUGCCAAGUCUACGGCCGAGUAGCCAAGCCCGGAAGGGAUAAACGCUGAAGGCAUCUAAGCGUGAAGCCCCCCUUAAGAUGAGAUAUCCCAUUCGAAAGAAGUAAACCCCCUUGAAGACGACGAGGUAGAUAGGGCAGAGGUGGAAGUGCGCAAUGCAUGGAGCUGACUGUUACUAAUCGGGUGGGGGCUUGAUC